RNAcentral lists this ribosomal RNA (292 nucleotides) under uncultured bacterium. Its description in RNAcentral is "partial 16S ribosomal RNA". It matches the Rfam family "Bacterial small subunit ribosomal RNA", at positions 505 to 796 of the family's 1533-position model. The record is from RNAcentral.
GUGCCAGCCGCCGCGGUAAUACGAAGGGGGCGAGCGUUGUUCGGAUUUACUGGGCGUAAAGGGCGCGUAGGCGGCGCGAGAAGUCAGGCGUGAAAGCCCCGGGCUCAACCUGGGAAUGGCGCUUGGGACUCUCGUGCUCGAGUUCGGGAGAGGAGAGUGGAAUUCCCAGUGUAGAGGUGAAAUUCGUAGAUAUUGGGAAGAACACCGGUGGCGAAGGCGGCUCUCUGGACCGAGACUGACGCUGAGGCGCGAAAGCGUGGGGAGCAAACAGGAUUAGAUACCCUGGUAGUCC